This 362-nucleotide ribosomal RNA is filed under the name uncultured bacterium. Its description in RNAcentral is "bacterial SSU rRNA". It matches the Rfam family "Bacterial small subunit ribosomal RNA", at positions 362 to 752 of the family's 1533-position model. The record is from RNAcentral.
UAUUGCACAAUGGGCGCAAGCCUGAUGCAGCAACGCCGCGUGAGGGACGACGGCCUUCGGGUUGUAAACCUCUUUUAGCAGGGAAGAAGCGAAAGUGACGGUACCUGCAGAAAAAGCACCGGCUAACUACGUGCCAGCAGCCGCGGUAAUACGUAGGGUGCAAGCGUUGUCCGGAAUUAUUGGGCGUAAAGAGCUCGUAGGCGGUUUGUCACGUCUGCUGUAAAUCCCGAGGCUCAACCUCGACUUGCAGUGGGACGGGCAGCAAAGUGCGGAGGGAGAUUGAAUUCCUGGUGAGCGGUGAAUGCGCAGUUCAGAGAUCACCAAUGGCAAGGAAUCUCUGGCCGACUGCGUGAGCAAAGAGA